RNAcentral lists this ribosomal RNA (450 nucleotides) under uncultured bacterium. RNAcentral describes it as "partial 16S ribosomal RNA". It matches the Rfam family "Bacterial small subunit ribosomal RNA", at positions 354 to 796 of the family's 1533-position model. The record is from RNAcentral.
GUGGGGAAUAUUGGACAAUGGGCGAAAGCCUGAUCCAGCCAUGCCGCGUGUGUGAAGAAGGUCUUCGGAUUGUAAAGCACUUUAAGUUGGGAGGAAGGGCAGUAAGUUAAUACCUUGCUGUUUUGACGUUACCGACAGAAUAAGCACCGGCUAACUUCGUGCCAGCAGCCGCGGUAAUACGAAGGGUGCAAGCGUUAAUCGGAAUUACUGGCCGUAAAGCGCGCGUAGGUGGUUUUGUAAGUUGGAGGUGAAAUCCCCGGGCUCAACCUGGGAACUGCCUCCAAAACUGGAUGACUGGAGGACGGUAGAGGGUAGUGGAAUUUCCUGUGUAGCGGUGAAAUGCGUAGAUAUAGGAAGGAACACCAGUGGCGAAGGCGACUACCUGGACUGAUACUGACACUGAGGUGCGAAAGCGUGGGGAGCAAACAGGAUUAGAUACCCCAGUAGUCC